AUGUUGAAUAUCAGUUUAAGUAUUUUUGAAAAGUAUUUGAUGAAAUUGAUCUCGAUAUCGAUCUUAGCAUAGCAUUUUAAAUAAUAAUAAAUAAUAUCCUAAAGGGGGAUCCUUAAUCAAUUCAUCUUCCCGACGAAAUCUUGGAAAUUAACGAUGCAAACGGCGUUGUGUUAAUUCCACGGAAUAGGAACUCUGACAUUCUAAAAAAAAAUCGUGUUUGAUGACGGUUGUUACCAUGACACGUCCUUUCUCGCGAUCGUGAAUAACAAGGAACCAACCACUUCUACGUAUAAAAUUAACGAUCCGUCUCAUCGAUUAAGCCACCGUGAACGCUUCCUCGAAAUUGUUAACCAUUCUACGCGAGUCUCUGAAAACGACAACGUCCAGCAUUCUCUCAAAAUUAAUUCAGACUGUGAACGAGAAACAAACGAUCCCAAAACUACUAUCCCUACAACUAACUCUAAAUCGUCCAAAUAAGGCAAAAAAAAAAGGUAAAAUUUGAGUAAAAUUACAUUACAAAAAAAGGAAACUAAAACUGAAAAAAAGUUAAAUCGUCAUAGGUUGAAGAAGAAGCACUGUGCCGUUUCCUCGUCCACUAGGUAAAAAGGACGAAUUUUCCACGGAGGGGGCCUGGUCUCGUUCUAAGUGGUCGUCGUUUGAUGACGGUUAUUACCAUGAUGCGCUGUUUCCUGCGACCAUUUCGCUUUGACGAGUGUGCAUCCACGGACGACAGUAGAUUCUCCGCCCCACAGGAAGUCGCCAAUACGUUUCUGUUAAACGAAUCUUUGUCGUGAGGAACGAAUUACACAUCUCGAUUGCGUUUAUAGAAUAUCUUUGGACGAAUAUUCUUUCCAUAAAUAUUGAAAUAAACGAGAAGAACAAUUUAAUUUCCCUCCAGAGACCAUUACAAUUUAACGUUGAAAGGGUGAAAAAACUCGAUGAAAGAAGGAAAUCCUUUUAAAUAAGGUAAACAGAUAUAAUAGCAAUAAUGAUAAUAAUAAAU
This is a long non-coding RNA of Apis laboriosa (Himalayan honeybee), 1003 nucleotides long. RefSeq lists it as uncharacterized. Lineage: Eukaryota; Metazoa; Arthropoda; Insecta; Hymenoptera; Apidae. The transcript has 3 exons. The record is from RefSeq and is a predicted model, not a curated record.